GGAUGCGAUCAUACCAGCACUAAAGCACCGGAUCCCAUCAGAACUCCGAAGUUAAGCGUGCUUGGGCGAGAGUAGUACUAGGAUGGGUGACCUCCUGAGAAGUCCUUGUGUUGCAUUCC
RNAcentral lists this ribosomal RNA (119 nucleotides) under Triticum aestivum (bread wheat). Lineage: Eukaryota; Viridiplantae; Streptophyta; Magnoliopsida; Poales; Poaceae. The record is from RNAcentral.